RNAcentral lists this unclassified non-coding RNA (378 nucleotides) under uncultured fungus. RNAcentral's name for it is "partial contains 5.8S ribosomal RNA and internal transcribed spacer 2". The stretch from base 1 to 133 matches the Rfam family "5.8S ribosomal RNA", at positions 22 to 154 of the family's 154-position model. The record is from RNAcentral. Lineage: Eukaryota; Fungi.
UGGCUCUCGCAUCGAUGAAGAACGCAGCGAAAUGCGAUAAGUAAUGUGAAUUGCAGAAUUCAGUGAAUCAUCGAAUCUUUGAACGCACCUUGCACCCCUUGGUAUUCCGAGGGGUAUGCCUGUUUGAGUGUCAUCAAAUUAUCAACUCGAAAACCUUUUCUUGUGUUCUUCGAAGUUUGGACUUGGAGCGUGCCGGGCAUCGACCGGCUCCUCUUCAAAUGCAUCAGCGGAAAACUUUGGCUGAACUGAUCCCCAGCAUGAUAAUUAUCUGCGUUGCCGAUCUGUGAAGCGAAAUCCGCUUACAACCGUCUUCCGACAGGGGUUUCCUCCCCUUUUACAUGACAAUUUGACCUCAAAUCAGGUAGGACUACCCGCUGA